Molecule: ribosomal RNA, 568 nt
Filed under: Schizophyllum commune
Lineage: Eukaryota; Fungi; Basidiomycota; Agaricomycetes; Agaricales; Schizophyllaceae
Description: LSU rRNA
Rfam family: Eukaryotic large subunit ribosomal RNA
Source: RNAcentral
AAGCUCAAAUUUAAAAUCUGGCGGUCUCCGGCCGUCCUAGAGGGUUUUAGAGAAGCGUUAUCCGUGCUGGACCGUGUAUAAGUCUCCUGGAAUGGAGCGUCAUAGAGGGUGAGAAUCCCGUCUUUGACACGGACUACCAGUGCAUUGUGAUGCGCUCUCGACGAGUCGAGUUGUUUGGGAAUGCAGCUCAAAAUGGGUGGUAAAUGCCAUCUAAAGCUAAAUAUUGGCGAGAGACCGAUAGCGAACAAGUACCGUGAGGGAAAGAUGAAAAGAACUUUGGAAAGAGAGUUAAACAGUACGUGAAAUUGUCGAAAGGGAAACGGUUGCAGUCAGUCGCGUCCGCCGGGGAUCAACCUUGCUUUUGCUUGGCGUAUUUCCCGGUGGAUGGGUCAGCAUCAGUUUUGACCGCAGUUGAAAGGCUGGAGGAAUGUGGCACCUUCGGGUGUGUUAUAGCCUCCUGUCAUAUGCUGCGGUUGGGACUGAGGAACUCAGCACGCCGCAAGGCCGGGAUUCGUCCACGUUCGUGCUUAGGAUGCUGGCAUAAUGUCUGUAACCGACCCGUCUUGAA